Alosa sapidissima (American shad) is the source of this 2512-nucleotide RNA transcript. It is a transcript of the gene named choline transporter-like protein 1, with no coding region annotated. Lineage: Eukaryota; Metazoa; Chordata; Actinopteri; Clupeiformes; Clupeidae. The transcript is spliced from 17 exons. The record is from RefSeq and is a predicted model, not a curated record.
GGUUUCUGUCUUCCUAUGCGGUUGCGGUUGGUUUGUAGCUGGUAGAUCCGAGGGGAAGACUCAGUGGUGGCAUAUCGUAAACAAGAAUUUUAAAACAAAAGCAGAGAGAAAAAAAUUCAAGGCCAGAAUAUGGAGUGUUAAGUCGGUUUAUCCUAACUCUACAACGAUUCUUCAAAAACGUAACACCUUCCAGAAUAUCUGUUGUUAAGUGGGGAAGGCGGAAGAAGUCCUCGAUAGCCUACGUUUUGUGAAUUCUUGCAGGCAAUGGCGUGUUUUGGCAACAAUGAGAAAAGGACUGAAUGGACUCCACUGGAGGAGAGAAGUGUCACAGACAUACCUUGGCUCAUCUUUUUCAUUUUGUUUUGCAUUGGCAUGGUUAUAAUAACUGGAUUAUCAAUUGCCAUGGGUGGUACAUCCAGACUGGUAAAGGGAUAUGACAGCUAUGGGAACAUAUGUGGGCAAAACAACAGCAAGACUUUAGACAUUCCUCAAAAUGGAGGGGAUUUCACACAGAGAAAGUUUGUGUUCUUCCUGGAGCCCUGUAAGAUUGACCUUGUUAAUAGGAAGAUGAAGUCAAUAGCUCUGUGUGUGUCAAAAUGCCCAGAAGAGGAACUAAAAACCCUUGAGGAUGUCAGAAAGUUUGCAAUUAUGAAUGGGUCAAAACUUUGUAGAUAUGACAUAGAGCAUUCCUCUUACCCCAGCCAUCCUGACAAAGCAGCCGGCUGUCCACAACUGCCUGUUAAGCCCAGCAAGGCUCGGCUCAACCGCUGUGUCCCAGUUGAUGUCAGCUGCUACGCCCAGUUUGCUCAGGCCCUAGUCAACUCCGUCAGUGAGAACGUGUUCCAGAGGAUUGCCGCCGGCGUCAUGGCCUCAAAGGAGAUCAUCUUUGGACUCUGCAUGCUCUCAAUAGUUCUCUCAGGGAUUCUUAUGGUGGUGAUCAGAUACAUCUCUGCCGUACUGGUGAUGAUUCUCACAGUACUCGUAGUCUUGGGCUCCAUCGCUGGCACUGGUGUUUUAUGGUGGUUGUAUGUAGACCUUAAGAAGUCUACUAAUUCCACCUCACCUGUUGAACAAGCGAUAGCUCAAGGCAACACCCAGGGUCUCCUUGCCUAUGCAAUCACAGCCACAGUGUUUACGGUGGUGCUCCUGCUGUUGAUUGUCUUCCUGAGGAAGCGAGUGGCUCUUACCAUUGCCUUGUUCCAUGUGGCAGGGAAUGUCUUCACUCAUAUACCUUUGCUAGCCUUGCAGCCAGUGUGGACGUGUAUGUCCCUUUUGCUUUUUUGGGUGUGUUGGCUUGGGGUGCUCCUGUCUCUAGGAACUUCAGGAAGCCCUGUGUUGAAUACAGACACACAAACGGUGGAGUUCAAGCUGGCUGAGCCGCUGCAGUACAUGGUGUGGUACCAUGCCGUGGGCCUCAUCUGGGUCAGUGAGUUCAUCCUGGCCUGCCAGCAAAUGACUGUGGCUGGCGCUGUGGUCACCUACUACUUCACCAGGAACAAGUCUCAGCUGCCUGUGAUGCCAAUCCUGACCUCAGUCCUAAGGUUGGCACGCUACCACUUGGGCACUGUGGCCAAAGGGGCCUUCAUCAUCACUUUGGUGGAGAUUCCACGCCUCAUCCUCACCUACAUCCACACCCAGCUUAAAGGGAAAGAAAAUGCUUGUGCUCGCUGUAUGCUCAAAGCAUGCAUAUGCUGUCUGUGGUGUCUUAAGAAGUGCCUUCAGUACUUGAACCAAAACGCAUAUACAGCCACUGCCAUCAACAGUACAAGUUUCUGCACAUCUGCCCAAGAUGCAUUUAUUAUCAUGGUGGAGAAUGUUGUUCGUGUGGCUGUCAUUAAUACCGUGGGGACCUUCAUCCUCUUCCUUGGAAAGGUGCUGGUUGUGUCAUGCACAGCUUUUGUGGGUGUCCUUACUCUGAGGUACCAGCAAGAAUACACAGUGUGGGUAGUACCCGUGAUUAUUGCCUGUCUAUUUGCCUACUUGGUUGCCCACUGCUUCCUGUCAGUCUAUGACAUGGUGGUGGAUGUGCUCUUCCUCUGCUUUGCCAUCGACUCCAAGUACAAUGAUGGGAGUCGUGGCAAAGAGUACUAUAUGGAGAAGGCUCUCAUGGAGUUUGUAGAGAACAGCCGUAAGGCAAUGGAGCGGGAUGCCUCAGGUGGCAGCAAAGAACUGACACCAAUGGCACGUAGAGGUAGGUAGGUUUGGCUGGACCUGAUGAAACAAAUGACACCGCAACACACCUCAAUCCUUGAUGCCAUUUUCUAAUGCCAAAUGCACCCUUUAAUAUCCUGAAACUGUCAGUGUGUUGCAUUCCAGGUGAAAUGGUUUAUGACAUGUUCUAAUGCCAAAUGCAGCCUUUAAUGUCCUGAAACAGUCAUAGUGUGUUGCACUCGAAGCAAAAUGUUUUACUUGACUGCCUUAACUUUUUAUAUCAGAAAAGUGUUUAUAGAUAUGUUAAAUUGUUCUACUUACUGGAGUGUUUGUUCAAAGUUAUUAAAAGCUAUUGAUUAUA